This 517-nucleotide ribosomal RNA is filed under the name Fusarium oxysporum. RNAcentral describes it as "eukaryotic LSU rRNA". The stretch from base 162 to 312 matches the Rfam family "5.8S ribosomal RNA". Lineage: Eukaryota; Fungi; Ascomycota; Sordariomycetes; Hypocreales; Nectriaceae. The record is from RNAcentral.
CGAGUUUCAUUACCGAGCUUACAGCUCCCAACCGUCUCAGAACAUAAGAAUAGGUGGCCCCGGGUCAUCACCCGGCGCCCCGAAAAACGGGACGGCCCGCCCAAGAACCCCUAACCUCUGUUUUUAAUGGAACUUCUGAGUAAAACCAAAAAAUAAUUCAAAAUUUUCAACACCGAAUCUCUGGGUUCGGGCUUCAAUAAAAACGCACCAAAAGGCAAUAAUUAUGGUGAUUUGCAAUUUCAUGGAUUCUUCGAUUCUUUGACCGCACUUGGGGCCCGCCAGAAUUCGGGCGGGUGGCCGGUUCAAGGGUCUUUUCAACCUUCAAGCUCAGCUGGUGGUUGGAAUUCCGGGUAACCCGCGUUCCCCAAAUCGAUUGGCGGUCACGCAAGCUUCCAUAAAGAAAAAAUCAUACACCUCGUUACUGGAAUCGUCGCGGCCACCCCUAAAACCCCAAUUUUAGAAUGUUGACCUCGGAUCAGGGAAAAAUACCCGCUGAAAUUUACCAUAUCCACCCUUA